CCUACGGGAGGCAGCAGUGGGGAAUUUUGGACAAUGGGCGCAAGCCUGAUCCAGCAAUGCCGCGUGCAGGAAGAAGGCCUUCGGGUUGUAAACUGCUUUUGUACGGAGCGAAAAGGCUCUCUCUAAUACAGGGGGCUCAUGACGGUACCGUAAGAAUAAGCACCGGCUA
This 169-nucleotide ribosomal RNA is filed under the name uncultured bacterium. RNAcentral describes it as "partial 16S ribosomal RNA". It matches the Rfam family "Bacterial small subunit ribosomal RNA", at positions 338 to 499 of the family's 1533-position model. The record is from RNAcentral.